This 392-nucleotide unclassified non-coding RNA is filed under the name soil metagenome. RNAcentral's name for it is "partial contains 5.8S ribosomal RNA, internal transcribed spacer 2, and large subunit ribosomal RNA". The stretch from base 6 to 123 matches the Rfam family "5.8S ribosomal RNA", at positions 39 to 154 of the family's 154-position model. The record is from RNAcentral.
GAUGAAAGAACGCAGCGAAAUGCGAUACUUGGUGUGAAUUGCAGAAUCCCGUGAACCAUCGAGUCUUUGAACGCAAGUUGCGCCCGAAGCCACUAGGCCGAGGGCACGCCUGCCUGGGCGUCACACGCCGUUGCCCCCCCAUCUACUCCUUCGGGAUUGCGGGGGGGCGGAUGAUGGCCUCCCGUGCGCCUAGCCGCGCGGUUGGCAUAAAUACCAAGUCCUCGGCGACGCACGCCACGACAAUCGGUGGUUGCGAAACCUCGGUUGCCCGUCGUGUGCGUUCGUCGCGCAUCGAGGGCUCGAAAAAAUGCUCGGCUCCGGCUGGGCUUUCAACGCGACCCCAGGUCAGGCGGGGUUACCCGCUGAAUUUAAGCAUAUCAAUAAGCGGAGGA